Molecule: long non-coding RNA, 849 nt
Organism: Toxorhynchites rutilus septentrionalis
Lineage: Eukaryota; Metazoa; Arthropoda; Insecta; Diptera; Culicidae
Exons: 3
Source: RefSeq, a predicted model, not a curated record
AUGUGUUGAUUAUGACAUUGAGAAAGAUUUGGAUGUCGGUUUUCAAGCAAUUUAUAGUGUUGUGUGUUGUUUGCCGGAAUACCACAUUGGCGAUCCUGCCAUACAAGAUAAGAGAAUAAAUUUAAUCGAUUUCUCAGACUGGUGAAGGAUAAAAAAAGAGAAAUAUAGAUCAUAUUUUUGUUUCUGGUUUAGACAGAGAAACCGAUGAAACCAAAGGAAUACACAUCGAGGUGGAGUAGUAGGCAAUGUAUGUCAGUAUUAGUAAGAAAAAUAUGAUGUCAUUACAAAAGUCCUAUGUGAUUUCUAUAUGGUAACCACUGCAUGCUGCCACAUUGUACUCGUAAUCAGCCGGAAUUCCAGUAAGGUGUAUGAUUCUAAUGGAUAAAUCAUUUUCUGCAGGUAGCAUUUUAGGAAGUUGAAUGUAGACACAAAUAUUGUCGUCACGAGGUGAAGGACAUUGGGAUGAAACCGACGAGAAGGGUUGCCAGAAAGGUGAUUUCCCUAUGGUAAAAACAGUUGAGUCGGGUUGAGCCCAAGGCCAACUUGUACUUAAAGUUUUGAGUCGAGUAUAGCUCAAGGCCAAAACAGUUGAGUCGGGUUAAGCCCGAGGCCAACUUAUAAAUACAAAGUUUCACGCUGAAUAUAAAUCAUGGUCAAAACAGUUGAGUCGGGUUAAGCCCAAGGCCAACUUCCCAGCAAACAUUAAAUCUUAUAAUUUUGUACGUGCCAAGUCUUACGAGAAAUCCGAAUAAAUCAUAAUCGCAUAUAAUAUCAAUCAAAGUAUGUACCGUGUAUAUUUGAAAUCGCAUAAAAUGUAAAAACUCGAUUUUAUAUACCAUUAUCAAAUUA